Molecule: ribosomal RNA, 498 nt
Filed under: uncultured Burkholderiales bacterium
Lineage: Bacteria; Pseudomonadati; Pseudomonadota; Betaproteobacteria; Burkholderiales
Description: bacterial SSU rRNA
Rfam family: Bacterial small subunit ribosomal RNA
Source: RNAcentral
AGGCUUUGAUCCUGGCUCAGAUUGAACGCUGGCGGCAUGCCUUACACAUGCAAGUCGAACGGCAGCACGGGAGCUUGCUCCUGGUGGCGAGUGGCGAACGGGUGAGUAAUACAUCGGAACGUGCCCAGUAGUGGGGGAUAGCUCGGCGAAAGCCGGAUUAAUACCGCAUACGACCUACGGGUGAAAGCGGGGGACCGUAAGGCCUCGCGCUAUUGGAGCGGCCGAUGUCUGAUUAGCUAGUUGGCGGGGUAAAAGCCCACCAAGGCGACGAUCAGUAGCUGGUCUGAGAGGACGAUCAGCCACACUGGAACUGAGACACGGUCCAGACUCUACGGGAGGCAGCAGUGGGGAAUUUUGGACAAUGGGCGAAAGCCUGAUCCAGCAAUGCCGCGUGUGCGAAGAAGGCCUUCGGGUUGUAAAGCACUUUUGUCAGGGAAGAAAUCUUUCGGGCUAAUACCCCUGGAAGGAUGACGGUACCUGAAUGAAUAAGCACCGGCU